GAUGAACGCUGGCGGCGUGCCUAAUACAUGCAAGUCGAGCGAACAGACAAGGAGCUUGCUCCUUUGACGUUAGCGGCGGACGGGUGAGUAACACGUGGGUAACCUACCUAUAAGACUGGGAUAACUUCGGGAAACCGGAGCUAAUACCGGAUAAUAUUUCGAACCGCAUGGUUCGAUAGUGAAAGAUGGUUUUGCUAUCACUUAUAGAUGGACCCGCGCCGUAUUAGCUAGUUGGUAAGGUAACGGCUUACCAAGGCGACGAUACGUAGCCGACCUGAGAGGGUGAUCGGCCACACUGGAACUGAGACACGGUCCAGACUCCUACGGGAGGCAGCAGUAGGGAAUCUUCCGCAAUGGGCGAAAGCCUGACGGAGCAACGCCGCGUGAGUGAUGAAGGUCUUCGGAUCGUAAAACUCUGUUAUUAGGGAAGAACAUACGUGUAAGUAACUAUGCACGUCUUGACGGUACCUAAUCAGAAAGCCACGGCUAACUACGUGCCAGCAGCCGCGGUAAUACGUAGGUGGCAAGCGUUAUCCGGAAUUAUUGGGCGUAAAGCGCGCGUAGGCGGUUUUUUAAGUCUGAUGUGAAAGCCCACGGCUCAACCGUGGAGGGUCAUUGGAAACUGGAAAACUUGAGUGCAGAAGAGGAAAGUGGAAUUCCAUGUGUAGCGGUGAAAUGCGCAGAGAUAUGGAGGAACACCAGUGGCGAAGGCGACUUUCUGGUCUGUAACUGACGCUGAUGUGCGAAAGCGUGGGGAUCAAACAGGAUUAGAUACCCUGGUA
This 782-nucleotide ribosomal RNA is filed under the name Staphylococcus haemolyticus. RNAcentral describes it as "bacterial SSU rRNA". It matches the Rfam family "Bacterial small subunit ribosomal RNA", at positions 28 to 792 of the family's 1533-position model. Lineage: Bacteria; Bacillati; Bacillota; Bacilli; Caryophanales; Staphylococcaceae. The record is from RNAcentral.